Molecule: ribosomal RNA, 468 nt
Filed under: uncultured organism
Description: bacterial SSU rRNA
Rfam family: Bacterial small subunit ribosomal RNA
Source: RNAcentral
GAUGAACGCUAGCGGCAGGCUUAAUACAUGCAAGUCAAGGGGGUAGCAAUAUCACCGGCGAACGGGUGCGUAACGCGUACACAACAUGCCUUUAACAGGGGGAUAGCAUUGGGAAACUGGUGGUAAUACCCCAUAACAUUGCGAUUUGGCAUCAGAUUGCAAUUAAAGUUCCGGCGGUUAAAGAUUGGUGUGCGUCUGAUUAGGUAGUUGGUGGGGUAACGGCCUACCAAGCCAACGAUCAGUAGGGGGUGUGAGAGCAUGACCCCCCACAUGGGUACUGAGACACGGACCCAACUCCUACGGGAGGCAGCAGUAAGGAAUAUUGGACAAUGGACGGAAGUCUGAUCCAGCCAUGCCGCGUGAAGGACGAAGGCGCUCAGCGUUGUAAACUUCUUUUGGACGGGGACAAACCACUCGAUGCGUCGGGUGCUGAGGGUACCGUCAGAAUAAGCACCGGCUAACUCCGUG